Molecule: ribosomal RNA, 325 nt
Filed under: uncultured bacterium
Lineage: Bacteria
Description: bacterial SSU rRNA
Rfam family: Bacterial small subunit ribosomal RNA
Source: RNAcentral
GACGAACGCUGGCGGCGCGCCUAACACAUGCAAGUCGAACGGAGUUAAAGAGACAGAAGUUUUCGGACGGAAGACUUUUAACUUAGUGGCGGACGGGUGAGUAACACGUGAGUAACCUGCCUUUCAGAGGGGGAUAACGUUUGGAAACGAACGCUAAUACCGCAUAACAUCAUUUUGGGCAUCCCGAGAUGAUCAAAGGAGCAAUCUGCUGAGAGAUGGACUCGCGCCUGAUUAGAUAGUUGGUAGGGUAACGGCCUACCAAGUCGACGAUCAGUAGCCGGACUGAGAGGUUGAACGGCCACAUUGGGACUGAGACACGGCCCAG